GGAGGGUGCAAGCGUUAUCCGGAUUCACUGGGUUUAAAGGGUGCGUAGGUGGGCAGGUAAGUCAGUGGUGAAAUCUCUGGGCUUAACCCGGAAACUGCCAUUGAUACUAUUUGUCUUGAAUACCGUGGAGGUCAGCGGAAUAUGUCAUGUAGCGGUGAAAUGCUUAGAUAUGACAUAGAACACCAAUUGCGAAGGCAGCUGGCUACACGAAUAUUGACACUGAUGCACGAAAGCGUGGGGAUCAAACAGGAUUAGAUACCCUGGUAGUCCACGCCCUAAACGAUGGAUACUCGACAUACGCGAUAUACUGUGUGUGUCUGAGCGAAAGCAUUAAGUAUCCCACCUGGGAAGUACGAUCGCAAGAUUGAA
This 369-nucleotide ribosomal RNA is filed under the name uncultured bacterium. RNAcentral's name for it is "bacterial SSU rRNA". It matches the Rfam family "Bacterial small subunit ribosomal RNA", at positions 527 to 898 of the family's 1533-position model. The record is from RNAcentral.